GACACUUCAAGACAAGGGUUUUAGCUAUUGUUGUACUUCCAGCUACAUAUAUAUUUUCUUCUAAACUAUAAUACAUAUACACAGGAGCGUGCACAAACAAAUCUCCUGAUGCAAAAUAAAAAAUGAGUAGUAUGCCCAAAAUACACGUCAGUGUCUAAUUAUACAAGUACAAUAAUAAUUUUGAGGAUAGAUAGACUAAGACAGACCAAGAAACUGCUUGGAAGUCUAUUCAUUGGAGUACCAAAAUAAAAAAAAGAAUAAGCAUCAAUAUUAGGAGUUGUGCUUCCCAUUCCUUUCAAAUAUGAUAAUAUCAUCAAAAAAGUAACGCACUCAUAUAAUCAAAGUUGCAUGAAGUAAGACGCAGAAGAUCUCUACAUGGGGCUCGACCGUGUCCCCUGUUAUGUCCAUCCUCUGCGUAGCACCUCUCACAACAGAUCAACUUGUUGCUCAGUAAAUCACCGCAUUUCUUUCCUUAGAAGCGUAUGUGGAGUCUCUCCUCGGCCAUCUUCGUCUUUGUGUCCAAACAUUGGGCUCCACAUAAAUAGAGAGAUAACCAAAUACUUGCAAUGUUGUUAAUCUGUAUUUCAAUAUUAGUCAGUAAUGGUGUGAAAUUGAGCUAGUUUUGUAUCUAUGGGUUGAUAAACUUCCCAGUGAGAAGUCAUGCAUCCGUCAAUUUGCAGCAUACAAAGAAUGUGAUUGAUGUGAGUGGAUAUUGGUGUUCUGGUGUUGAUAUAAGCAAAUCUCUUAAUGAACUAAAGCCAUCGGCCAUAUCUAUACCAUAUGGGACAAUGCCUAGUAAAAACAAUUUGCAGUCACAAGACGAAGCCAAGUGCUGACAAAAAUGUCAUGAGAAGCCAGCUGGUACAGUUCACCAUCCCAGCAUACUUGAUAGUGCAAAUGACAUACGAUUAUCACAAUGUAAAGUUUUUUUUACCAGUACUAAAUACUGCCCAUCGGAUUAAGGCCAACUUAUAAAGAUAAGUUUCAUGGUGGAUUAGAGACCACUCGGUAAUUCAGAAUCGAGAAGAAAAAAAUACAUAUAACAGGUAGCCGACAAAGCAGAUAAUAAAGCUGAAAUAUCCCCUUAUAUUUCUUCCAGUGAAGUCUCGCCUUUAAUCAUCCAUCCAUAUGUAGUCAUAAACAAUUGAUAAAAGGAGCAGUAUGCUUAGGGAAAAUAUUUUUUUUCUGUGCACAACACUCUAAUAAACACAGUACAGGUUGAUUAAAAGAUAUCCAUCUAUAUAAAGCUCUUGUUUGGUUCUACCCGAGUGCUGCUAAAUGUGAUGGUGGAGUUUCUGCUUGUGAAGAUGCCUUUUCACUCAUCGACUUUACCCACUCACUCCUUCAGCUCCUAAUCCUGCCUGUUUGAGCCAUUACUUUGCCUAAUAUUCUCCUACCAAAAGGAACAACACAUUCACGCAUCCGUUCAGUCAGUUAUGAAAAUUAUGAUAAGCAGGAGAGGCUCGACUAUGAAUCAAUCGAUCCAUGCCCCCUUACCGAGGUGGAACUCAUGGUGACAUGAGAGACUCAUCUUCAUCAAUGUCUCCGCACAGCCACAAUGAGGCAGGUUCAUACAUCUAGCUGAUCUUGGUUAUUACUCGAUGAUUCACUGUCAUCCCCGUGUCUUCUGUUGGUAGCGAAAAAGUUGAGCAGUUUUACAUCAACAAUUACAUACAAAUAAAAUCAUUGUGUUGUCUUCUUCGUGGUGUAAGACUACUUAGUAGGGUGCAUGUCAACCGAACAAUAAGAUGCGUUUUGUGUGAAUUUGAACCCAUAAAUCUCAGACAUGUGAACAAACAGACAUUCAAUUAUUAGUCUGAUAGUCUAGUUAGUUUAAAAAAUAUUGAGUUGCAUAUAACUUUCAGGUGAGCAACAAACAAAAAUCUCUAUAACCACAUACUUGUUAUUGGAGAGUGAACAGUUGUUAUUUCACGUAUCUUACCUUCAUAGACAAUAGAGGAAAACUUCAACUCCAUUAUUGACGCUAUCUCCAUUGCAAGAUUCAGGAAAGAAUUUCUGUUGAGAACCAGUGAAAAAACUAUUAUUAAAAAUACAAGACCACAUGAUGAAGCACGUACUAUUUCAUUUUUCAGUCCUACAGUGUAACAUCAAGAAACAAGCGCUAAUUAAUUCAAGAAUUACAUCAUAACUUUCAGGUGAGAACCAAAUAAAAGUUCCUAUUUCAUUUUUCAGUCCCACGGUGUAACAUCAAGAAAGAGCCCUAAUUAAUUCAAGAAUUACAUCAUAACUUUCAGGUGAGAAAUAAAUAAAAGUUCCUAUAACCACUUGCUUGUUCUUGGUGGAUCAAAAUUUAAAACAUGAAGGCAAGUUGCAAGUUGUCAAUAGGAUCUGGACAACACAUGAAGCUUCCACCGUUCAGCUGUGUGUGUGAGAGAGAAAAAGAGGGAGAGGAUGGCUAACAAGAUGAUAGAUUUGAUGCGACGAAUGGGGGUGAAGAGGGUGGGUACCUGUGGUUGAGUGCUCCCCGUCCCAGGGUAGUGUUUACUGGCU
RNAcentral lists this long non-coding RNA (2511 nucleotides) under Hordeum vulgare. Its description in RNAcentral is "long non-coding RNA (HVUL_LNC021217)". The record is from RNAcentral. Lineage: Eukaryota; Viridiplantae; Streptophyta; Magnoliopsida; Poales; Poaceae.